AGAACUCCGUAGGAAUACAGAGGGGGCUUCGGAGCUCAUAUACAGUUGCUGCACGGCUGUCGUCAGCUCGUGUCGUGAGAUGUUGGGUUAAGUCCCGCCACGAGCGCGACCCUCGUCACUAGUUACUAACGGUUCGGGCGAGGACUCUAGUGAGACUGCCCUCGUAAGGAGGAGGAAGGUGAGGACGACGUCAAGUCAUCAUGGGCCUUACGGCUAGGGCAACACACGUGCUACAAUGGCCAGGACAGUGAGGAGCGAUACCGCGAGGUGGAGCAAAUCUAUAAACCUGGUCUCAGUUCGGAUUGUAGUCUGCAACUCGACUACAUGAAGCUGGAAUCACUAGUAAUCGUAGAUCAGCUAUGCUACGGUGAAUACGUUCCCGGGUUCUUGUACUCACCGCCCGUCACACCAUGGGAGUUGAUUUCAACCCGAAGCGGGGAAGCUAAACUGGCUACUCUCCACGGUGGAAUCAGCGACUGGGGUGAAGUCGUAACAAGGUAACC
Molecule: ribosomal RNA, 503 nt
Filed under: epsilon proteobacterium ectosymbiont of Symmetromphalus aff. hageni
Lineage: Bacteria; Pseudomonadati; Campylobacterota
Description: bacterial SSU rRNA
Rfam family: Bacterial small subunit ribosomal RNA
Source: RNAcentral